Molecule: ribosomal RNA, 423 nt
Filed under: Verrucomicrobiota bacterium
Lineage: Bacteria; Pseudomonadati; Verrucomicrobiota
Description: Verrucomicrobia bacterium partial 16S ribosomal RNA
Rfam family: Bacterial small subunit ribosomal RNA
Source: RNAcentral
UGAGGAAUAUUGGUCAAUGGACGCAAGUCUGAACCAGCCAAGUAGCGUGCAGGAUGACGGCCCUAUGGGUUGUAAACUGCUUUUAUAUGGGGAUAAAGUGGGGAACGUGUUCCCUUUUGCAGGUACCAUAUGAAUAAGGACCGGCUAAUUCCGUGCCAGCAGCCGCGGUAAUACGGAAGGUUCGGGCGUUAUCCGGAUUUAUUGGGUUUAAAGGGAGCGUAGGCCGUUUGGUAAGCGUGUUGUGAAAUGUAGGAGCUCAACUUCUAGAUUGCAGCGCGACCUGUCAGACUUAAGUGCGCACAACGUAGGAGGAAUUCAUGGUGUAGCGGUGAAAUGCUUAGAUAUAAUGAGAACUCCGAUUGCGAAGGCAGCUUACGGGAGCGCAACUGACGCUGAAGCUCGAAGGUGCGGGUAUCGAACAGG